RNAcentral lists this ribosomal RNA (465 nucleotides) under Vreelandella stevensii. RNAcentral describes it as "partial 16S ribosomal RNA". It matches the Rfam family "Bacterial small subunit ribosomal RNA", at positions 338 to 795 of the family's 1533-position model. The record is from RNAcentral. Lineage: Bacteria; Pseudomonadati; Pseudomonadota; Gammaproteobacteria; Oceanospirillales; Halomonadaceae.
CCUACGGGGUGCUGCAGUGGGGAAUAUUGGACAAUGGGCGAAAGCCUGAUCCAGCCAUGCCGCGUGUGUGAAGAAGGCCUUCGGGUUGUAAAGCACUUUCAGUGGGGAAGAAAGCCUUGGGGCUAAUACCCUCGAGGAAGGACAUCACCCACAGAAGAAGCACCGGCUAACUCCGUGCCAGCAGCCGCGGUAAUACGGAGGGUGCGAGCGUUAAUCGGAAUUACUGGGCGUAAAGCGCGCGUAGGCGGUCUGAUAAGCCGGUUGUGAAAGCCCCGGACUCAACCUGGGAACGGCAUCCGGAACUGUCAGGCUAGAGUGCAGGAGAGGAAGGUAGAAUUCCCGGUGUAGCGGUGAAAUGCGUAGAGAUCGGGAGGAAUACCAGUGGCGAAGGCGGCCUUCUGGACUGACACUGACGCUGAGGUGCGAAAGCGUGGGUAGCAAACAGGAUUAGAUACCCUGGUAGUC